RNAcentral lists this microRNA precursor (96 nucleotides) under Lutzomyia longipalpis. RNAcentral describes it as "microRNA MIR158". The record is from RNAcentral. Lineage: Eukaryota; Metazoa; Arthropoda; Insecta; Diptera; Psychodidae.
CGUCUUCCUCAGUGGUCAAUUGUGUCUUUGUUUGGGAAUCGUUAAGACGUUUGACGAUUCCCAAACAAAGACACAAUUGACCACUGAGGAAGACGC